RNAcentral lists this long non-coding RNA (572 nucleotides) under Mytilus galloprovincialis (Mediterranean mussel). The record is from RNAcentral. Lineage: Eukaryota; Metazoa; Mollusca; Bivalvia; Mytilida; Mytilidae.
GUUUUCUGGUCUGUGGCUCUGUUCGUCCGUCUGUGUGUCCAUUCGUCCGUCUUUGCGUCUGUUCAGGUUAAAGUUUUAGUCAAGGUAGUUUUUGAUGAAGCUGGAGUCCAAUCAACUUGAAACUUAGUAGACUUGUUGCUUAUGAUAUGAUCUUUCUAAUUUUAAAGCCAAAUUAGACUUUUGACCCCAAUUUCACGGUCCACUGAACAUAGAAAAUGAAAGUGGGAGUUUCAGGUUAAAGUUUUUGGUCAAGGUAGUUUUUGGUGAAGCUGAAGUCCAAUCAACUUGAAACUUAGUAAACUUGUUGCUUAUGAUAUAAUCUUUUUAAUUUUGAAGCCAAAUUAGACUUUUGACCCCAAUUUCACGGUCCACUAAACAUAGAAAAUGAAAGUGGGAGUUUCAGGUUAAAGUUUUUGGUCAAGGUAAGUUUUUGAUAAAAUUGAAGUCCAAUCAACUUGAAACUUAGUACAUAUGUUCCCUAUAGUAUAAUCUUUCUAAUUUUAAUACCAAAUUAGAUUAUUACCCAAUUUCACGGUCCAUGGAACAUGGAAAAGGAUAGUGCGAGUUGGGCA